Long non-coding RNA from Alnus glutinosa, 696 nucleotides. RefSeq lists it as uncharacterized. The record is from RefSeq and is a predicted model, not a curated record. NCBI's taxonomy places the organism in Eukaryota, Viridiplantae, Streptophyta, Magnoliopsida, Fagales, Betulaceae. The transcript has 2 exons.
GAUAACAGCGUUUGAACUUUGAACUCUCCCAAAUUUUCAUUUUCCCCCACAUUUCUCUCUCUCCAAAAUUCUGUCCCUCCCUCCUCUCCCACCAAGCAGUGUCGUAGCCGCCGCCGCCGCCGCCACUGUCCAGUUCCUCCGCCCACCACCAAGCAGUGCCGCCGCCCACCAUCCGGCCGAUCUCUCUCAACCUCACGCGGUUUGGUCGCCUCCGCCCACCCACCACGACACCACCUGUCUGUUUUUGUUUUGAUUCUUUGUUUUUUUUUGGUUCACUCAUCUGGGUUUUGCUUGGGUUCACCCACCACAACACCACCGGCCGUUCUCCAUCGACGUUCGCUCACAACCACCGCACGCUAUCGAGUGGGAUAGUUGCUGAGAAACAACAACGUCAACGGAAGAAAAUACCCGGUCUCGUACCUCACCUUUUUUUUCACGGUAUUAAGACUUCCGGGCUGCUGGGUUUGGAAUUGACUGGUGAUGGCCAGGUUGUGUUUUUAGGAACCAUGUGAUUCAAAUGACAAAAUUGAUGAAUUUUGCGGUUUUCUUAUCAGACAUGAAAGUUUUUUUUUCAGGCACAAGGAUUACAAAGAAAGCAAACGUAGAGUUCUCUAACAUUAGUGAAGACAUCUCUGUAUGGACUUUGUGUAUUGUGUUGUGUUUUUUGUUUUUGUUAGCUUUGUGCCCUUUGCUUUA